UGGGUGAUGGCGUGCCUUUUGUAGAAUGAACCGGCGAGUUACGAUUUGAUGCAAGGUUAAGCAGUAAAUGUGGAGCCGUAGCGAAAGCGAGUCUGAAUAGGGCGUUUAGUAUUUGGUCGUAGACCCGAAACCAGGUGAUCUACCCUUGGUCAGGUUGAAGUUCAGGUAACACUGAAUGGAGGACCGAACCGACUUACGUUGAAAAGUGAGCGGAUGAACUGAGGGUAGCGGAGAAAUUCCAAUCGAACCUGGAGAUAGCUGGUUCUCUCCGAAAUAGCUUUAGGGCUAGCCUCAAGUGAUGAUUAUUGGAGGUAGAGCACUGUUUGGACGAGGGGCCCCUCUCGGGUUACCGAAUUCAGACAAACUCCGAAUGCCAAUUAAUUUAACUUGGGAGUCAGAACAUGGGUGAUAAGGUCCGUGUUCGAAAGGGAAACAGCCCAGACCACCAGCUAAGGUCCCAAAAUAUAUGUUAAGUGGAAAAGGAUGUGGCGUUGCCCAGACAACUAGGAUGUUGGCUUAGAAGCAGCCAUCAUUUAAAGAGUGCGUAAUAGCUCACUAGUCGAGUGACACUGCGCCGAAAAUGUACCGGGGCUAAACAUAUUACCGAAGCUGUGGAUUGUCCUUUGGACAAUGGUAGGAGAGCGUUCUAAGGGCGUUGAAGCAUGAUCGUAAGGACAUGUGGAGCGCUUAGAAGUGAGAAUGCCGGUGUGAGUAGCGAAAGACGGGUGAGAAUCCCGUCCACCGAUUGACUAAGGUUUCCAGAGGAAGGCUCGUCCGCUCUGGGUUAGUCGGGUCCUAAGCUGAGGCCGACAGGCGUAGGCGAUGGAUAACAGGUUGAUAUUCCUGUACCACCUAUAAUCGUUUUAAUCGAUGGGGGGACGCAGUAGGAUAGGCGAAGCGUGCGAUUGGAUUGCACGUCUAAGCAGUAAGGCUGAGUAUUAGGCAAAUCCGGUACUCGUUAAGGCUGAGCUGUGAUGGGGAGAAGACAUUGUGUCUUCGAGUCGUUGAUUUCACACUGCCGAGAAAAGCCUCUAGAUAGAAAAUAGGUGCCCGUACCGCAAACCGACACAGGUAGUCAAGAUGAGAAUUCUAAGGUGAGCGAGCGAACUCUCGUUAAGGAACUCGGCAAAAUGACCCCGUAACUUCGGGAGAAGGGGUGCUCUUUAGGGUUAACGCCCAGAAGAGCCGCAGUGAAUAGGCCCAAGCGACUGUUUAUCAAAAACACAGGUCUCUGCUAAACCGUAAGGUGAUGUAUAGGGGCUGACGCCUGCCCGGUGCUGGAAGGUUAAGAGGAGUGGUUAGCUUCUGCGAAGCUACGAAUCGAAGCCCCAGUAAACGGCGGCCGUAACUAUAACGGUCCUAAGGUAGCGAAAUUCCUUGUCGGGUAAGUUCCGACCCGCACGAAAGGCGUAACGAUUUGGGCACUGUCUCAACGAGAGACUCGGUGAAAUCAUAGUACCUGUGAAGAUGCAGGUUACCCGCGACAGGACGGAAAGACCCCGUGGAGCUUUACUGUAGCCUGAUAUUGAAAUUCGGCACAGCUUGUACAGGAUAGGUAGGAGCCUUUGAAACGUGAGCGCUAGCUUACGUGGAGGCGCUGGUGGG
RNAcentral lists this ribosomal RNA (1605 nucleotides) under Staphylococcus aureus. RNAcentral's name for it is "partial 23S ribosomal RNA". It matches the Rfam family "Bacterial large subunit ribosomal RNA", at positions 590 to 2196 of the family's 2925-position model. The record is from RNAcentral. Lineage: Bacteria; Bacillati; Bacillota; Bacilli; Caryophanales; Staphylococcaceae.